CAGCCAGACAAGUGGAUCUGCGUUCCUGAAAAUGUUUCUGCAGAAAUUUUAAAAAGCUGGUAAUAGUAGAGCCAUGUUGGGAGCCUCAAGGACACUGAGUUGUUAAGGUCUCUAAAAAUGGUUGUACCA
Molecule: small nucleolar RNA, 129 nt
Organism: Otolemur garnettii (small-eared galago)
Lineage: Eukaryota; Metazoa; Chordata; Mammalia; Primates; Galagidae
Source: Ensembl